GUCGAAAAAAGUACCAUGUCGACUACAUAACUACGGGAGAAUUCAGGGUUACCUGAUCCAGCACCAAUUAUAAGCUUCCCCCCCCCCUUUUAUGCCUAAAGCUUUGCCAAUAGAGGGUCUUCUACAGAUCACAUGUUGACACGAGGUAUUUAUUUGGUUGAUUCUCAACUCUUCCAAAUCAACUAAAAUGGUAUAAAAAAAUAAAUAAAUAAAUAAGAAAAACCUUAGAUGCACAUUUCCUUCUUGACACUAAAUCAGAAGACAACUGUUCCCAUCAAGAAUUGACCACUAUGAAUCUAAAACUUUCCAAGCUUUGAGAAGUCAAAGUCUUUGAAUCCAUCCCAACUUAAUCUUUGAAUUCACCUCCUACCAAAUUUGUUGCUCUUGAGACCCAUGACCUGAAAGUCACCUGUGAUCCCAGGUUUGGACAGUACUUAGUACAGGUCCUCAGGACCUUACUUCAUGCCCCUCUCCUACACAUUUCUGUGAUGUCGUCACAUCCUUCAUGUUUUUCCAAUGCUGCCAUGCUGACAAGAGUCAAAACAGAGCGCCACCAGCAUUCCACUUCCCUCUCGUCCCAUGAGCUCCAUUUUGAACAGGAUUUCUCACUACCGCCUUAAGUUCAACCUUCACAAGACUGCAGCGCUCUACUUCAAGUUGUAUCCCUCUUGUACUUCCCUCUGUGGAGUUGUAUUGUUUCAUUUAUGAAUGUUUGGGUGCUACAUAAUGCAGUAUGUACUGUGGGAAAACAGAUUCUUGGUGUUUAUUUAAAUGACAGCUAUACCCGUAAGAACUGCCAAAGCCGUGUAUGUUUUGGCAGUGUGCAUACUUGUGCUGAUGUAACUGUUGUGUGUUUGUAUAAAUAUGUUAGUGUGUGGGAAGACUGGGGAGCGUUUUGUAUGGUUUUAGUUACAUUCCUCUCUGCUCUGAGUUUUAUUAACAAUUUCUAAAGGAAUCAAUAUUUGUCUCUCAGCCCGUCACAAUCUCUUUAUUUUGUUGAAAGCUACGAAAAAGAGAUUACUGACUCAACUUAAAUUUUAGCCUAAACCCACUUAAACUCGCUAUAUCCGCACUGACACCACAGAAACAAUCUCCACUGUAACCAUAAUUGACCUGAGCCACAUACAUUUCCCAUAACAAUUUAUGCACAUUUAUUUCAUAUUCAAUUCUUCGGCUUUCUGUACUUCAAAUGAAACCCACUCAGUCAUGUCGGAGUAUUCUGAUCCCUUUACUUGUGCAGUUUAUAAAAUACCCGGUGUUUUCUUUUAGACUUGUUUGGAGUUCUGCCCAGUUAUUUCAGAUUUUGACUUUUCAGGUCAGAGAAUCUUUUUCUUCGACUUCUCAGAGUUCUUUAAAUGCAGUUUGACCAACUCCAACAAGGCUGUCUUGUGCCUUUUACUCAGUUGGUCUCCAUCUACCUACUCUAGCACAGAGGUCUACAUUGAGGGUUGCUGAAUGGGCUGUCCUUUUAGCAGGCUUUCCCAUUUCGCCAAAGGAUUUCUAAACUAGCUGUUGUGGCUGCUGGGUUUUGGUCACCCCUUUGACCAAGGACUGACUGACUCGGUAACUCAGUUUGAAACCACCAGGUGAUAUUAGGAGUACUGCUAGGUUCACAAUUACAGAGGUCACCGUGCUCUAAGCAACACUUAAAAAUUUAUAAAUGGUUUUAUACUGUUGCCUUGAUCCGUGUCUGGUUGGGCAUCUGCAGAGAGUUAGACUUAAUGGCUUGUCGUGACACGUACUGUGAAUUGUGACUCUCUUAUUACAGAGAUGUUUUUAUGGCAGCCCCUCGUCUGCAAUACAACUCCGCCAUUUUUGGUGAGCACAUAAAAACCCCUCGAACCAUUUGCAGAAGCUAAAGCCUCUUGAUGGCUUUAGUAGAGGGAUUGUCACAUAACAUCUCCCCAAUCGAGGCUUCACUCCAAUGGAUUCCGGUACAUUUUCAUAAUAGAUUGUUUUUAUUUUAUUGACUGCUCUUAAAGCAAGUCUGGUUCUGGCCUCAAAGUACAUUUGACCUGAAUUUGCAGUCCUAGAUACCUUUCGUUGUUCCAAAAGUCAACACGUAAUUCUAAAGGUUACCGUGAUUGCGGCAGGCCCUCUAGGUCGUGACCUGCCUGAGGACACAUGGUUUGCAAAAUCCAUAAUAAUCUCCUCACUUCUUAAAAACAUAUUUAUAAACUUGCAUUUAUGUGAUGUCGUUAGGUGAUGUCUUUCACAGUCCAUUACUGGCUACCACCUUGUUUUAUUUAGUCAUUUGUGUUUCCUUUGACUUUAAUCUUCCACUUGUAUUUAUCAUUCAUUCUCAUCAUCUGUUAUGCAUUUUGCAUCUUUAUUCUUGCAAUUUUAAUUUUAGCAAAGCUUUAACUUAAUUAUAUCCAUUUCCUCUGGCUCUAAUGUUUGGCCGUCUGAUUUUACCUUCUGAGUAUUAUAUGGCUUGUUUGCCAAAGCACUUUGUAAACUCUGUUUUUAAAGAGGGGCUAUAUGGCUUACAUAAAGCAAUAAAUGUGCAUAAAGUGGUUUUGAAUUUUGGUCUGGAGUAAUUGCAUACUGAGGAAAAGUUUCUCCUGUCACAGUGCUGCUUUGCCUAGAAACUCUGCAAGCAACAGAUGACAUAAAAUUACAGUCCAACACUAAAAAUACUGUAGUUCUCAUGUUUGAACAUUUACAGUUUUACUGCUGCAUGCAAGCUCCGUUUUUAGGUUUUAUAUUAAAGCAUGAGCAAUAUACAGAACAAUAUAUCAGGUCUGCAGCUACAGUGCACACCAGAACAGAAACUACAGGACAAUAAGCAUUUGCAUAAAGUUAAGCAGUAAUACAUUUUGGAAAUUUAUGCACAUUCUAAAGACUCAUCGUGAUCAUCUUGGUUUAACAUCGCCUUCCAUUAACUGCAAACACCUUAAUUACAUUCACAUGAAAAUAUGCACACACUGAGAGAAAAUUAAUGCAACUAACCACAGGCAUGCCGAUAAUUAUAUGAACAGUGCUGACGAUGAUUUAUAGUGCUGUUCUCACAUGCCUUAACUAUCUGUGACACUAUCCGUAUUACACUGUUGCAUCUGCAUGAGGCAUGCGUUAAUAUAAGUGAUAAAAUAAUCUACUUAAAUGCUUGAAUACUGCCCUUUAUUUCAGACUUUUAGUCAGAAAAGGCUGAACAAGUUUCAGAAAGAUUAAACUACUUAAAGCCAUCAUGCAAAACAUGUACAAUUUCCACUAACUUCAAAGUCAUUUCCAUAAUCUGGACUGCCUGAACCAUUUCCAGUACAGUAGUGUUUGCCUGUUAGGACUGUUGCGUGAUCAGUUUGUCAACCCUCCAUUGUAAACAUGCAAACUGAUGGCCCAGGACCAACUCUCAGCAUAACACUUCCCUACUGCGUCCCUCUGACUGUGUCAGAAUUGAUUCUCGCUGACGAGAGCCCAUUUAAAACUAUUUCAUCAAGCAAUAUGGUGGCUAAUUUGUGUGGUGCGCAUGAAUAAUAUAUGCGAAAGAAUCCAUCUAGGAUCCUUCAAAACAUCUGCCGUUUAUGGGUGGAAAUGAGGAGAAGAGGGUGGGGCUGUCAGCAGAAGAUGUAGAGAGAUGGGGCGCUACAAUCCAAUACGAGGGCAGAGCUGUGCAGCAAUCUGACAACUUCGGGGAAACAAUUUCAUCUUGCCAGACAUCCCAUCGGCGGUUGUGUCGAAAAACCUACGGGGGAGGGCCCUUCUGCUUCUGCUCCGUUUCGGGCGAUAUCAAAAGCUAUGCUUCAACUUCAGAGUAAUCACUUGGAAAAUGGAACAAUAUGCAAGAAUAGUGAGCCAUUCUCCUUCACUCUAUUUAGUAAUUUGGAAGAAAAUUGCUGGGGUUUCUGCCUGCCUCUGUUGGCCAUGCUCAUGGAACCUCCAUGUCUGCCUACAUGAGGCCUCAUUUAAGUCAUGGCAUACUUGCGUUUAAGGACACAGUUGAGGAGAAUAACAACAACUCCCGAUGUGCCUCGCCGCAGUGUGCAAGUGAGCACAGUGUUUCGCGCGCUGCCAGUGUGUAAAUCAGCACUUUGAGUCGUUAUUGUGCUAAUUUCUCACACCUGCCCCUGGGAAGCUUUUUGAUUAGCAGCUUCACAGCUGUUGCUCCACUUGCAGCGAUUUAUCUCCAUAAAUGAUUGCUGAUAAAUUCUCCUGAGACUGAUGCUGAGUGCCUCUGAGAUAUAAAUGCGAGACUUAAAGAGCCAGGCUGUGAGUUGAUAUGGUGGGGUGAUAUUUGUUCAUAUUGUGCUCAUUAGUGAUGGUAGGCAAAGUUUGAUGGCAGGUCCUGCUUUUGAAGACAUUUUGGAAUAAAUAGGCUGUGACAUUUAAAAUGUGGCAUUUACCGGACCAGGUUUUAGAGUGGAUCUCUCUAUCAAACAUCCGAUUCCAUCCUAAAAGGUACAGGAUUGGGAAAUCGGAUAAGUGGUCAAACGUGCCCUGGAAUGCAUUUAUGGGCAGUGACUGGAACAAUUUACAAAACCUCCCCCCAAAAAAGUAGCACCUACUAUCUGGUACGAUCCAGUUAUUUUAAAAUAAAGUUUAAAGGAAUUGGUUUGAUUUCUUGUUCCUUCUUUUUUUUUAAAUAUAUAUUCUUCACACCAAAUAAAAUAAAAAGAAGAAAAUAAUCCUAUUUAAAAGUCAUCUCUCGUAACUUUUGCCAGCACAACAUAAAACCCCAUUAUUUCCAAAAGGCUAUUAAGGGUGGAAAGGGACACAGUUGUUUAUGCUAUUAAGGCUGCUGGUGUAGUUUGUCUUCCAGCUUACAACCCCAAUUUCAAAAAAAAGUUUUGAAAUGUAAAUAAAACACAAAUGCAAUGUUUAAACUGAGAAAAUAUACUAUUUUCAGAAAAAUAAAUAAAUAAAUAAGGCCAUUUUGGAUUUAACAGCAGCAACACAUCCCAAAAAAGCUGGGACAGGGCCAUGUUUACCAGUGUGUAACACCCACUUUUCUUUCAACAACAGUCUGGGAACUGAGGACACCAGCUGUUGGACUUUUAGCAGAGGAAUAUUGUCCCAUUCUUGUCUGUCUGAUUAUUCUUGCUCUAGCAGCUCAACAGUCCUUGGCCUUAUUUGCCAUGUUGCUCAUUUCAUAAUGUGCCAAAUGUUUUCAGAUGGUGAAAGGUCUGGAUCACAGCCAGGCCAUAUUAGCAUCUGGACUCUUCUACUACGAAGCCAUGCUGUUAUCAUAGCUUUAGUGUGCAGUCAAGCAUGUUCUUGGUGAAAUAUGCAGGACCUUCCCUACAAACUUGAUGGGAGCAUAUGUUGCUCUAAAACCUGUAUACACCUUUAAGCACGGAUGGUGUCGAGCUGCCAAUUUCACAGGCACGAUGAACUGAGUGCUGAUAAAAAGCUGGACGCUCCCUCUGCUCUUCAGUGCAGAGGGCGAGGCAUGUUUACAAAAUAAAUUUGAAAUUUGGAUUUGUCCAGGUCCAUUUUAAAUGGUUUAGGGUCAGAGAAGAAGGCAGUGUUUCUGGAUUAUGUUCAUAUAUGGCUUCAUCUUUGGAUCAUUGAGAUUGAACUUGAGUGAUUUCUGGAAGUGUUUCUGAACCAAUGUGAUGACUUCCAUGACAAAAUCCCACCUGUUUUUAAAUGCAGUGUUGCCCAAAGACCUGAAGCUCAUGAGCAUCCAGCAUUUCCAUCCCUGUCCCUUGCACACAAACUUCUCCAGAUUCUUUAAAUCAUUUGGUGAGAUUACAUACUGAAGAAGAUGAGCUAUUCGAAGUUUUCACACUUUUACACUGAGGAACAUUAUUGUGAAAUUGGUCUACAUCUUUAUAGAUGCAGUUUUUUAGAGUUUGGUGUACAUCUUUACUUCUGUGAAACUCUAACAAGCUCUUUUGUUUAUGUCCAUUCGUGUUACCUGAAAUGGUGUUACUACCUAAAAUUAGCAAUUCAUUCCUUUAUGCUUUUAUUUACAUUUUUCCCAACUUCCCAACAUUUGGAAUAGGGACUGUAGACACUGCGCAUCCACCUCAAUGUAUCUGACCCUUUCCUCACGAAUGAAUCAUCUGCAUGUUCAACCAUGUCAGAGCCAUCUGACCUAAACACUGCAAUGCAAUAAUAAAAAUGUAAUAAUAUUGAUAUGUAUAAUAUCAAUAACACAUAAAUCUAUAUUAUUACACCAAGUAAAGUUUCUCAACUAGUACUAAACCCAAGUAUAGGAGAUGGAAGUGGAUGUAGGGAGAUCCAGUAUGGUGGCCCUGGGGAGGGUACGCAAAAGGCAGAAUGCAUCAAUAAACUGCUUAUUCUUUCUUUCAAUCUAGCAGCUUUUGGAACAGUUGAGAAGACACAGAUUAAUGCCCAAGAGUUCGCUAAUGUCAAAUCAAUUUUAAUUUAGAAGUAGCCUUAAGUCAUGUCUGUAGAAGCAGCCUGCAAGCUUAAAGAGAUACCCUCAAUAUGGCUUCAAAGCUUGUAAGAUGAUUUUAAGAACUGCCUGCAUUCUUCAGUAGAUAAGUACUCAGUGUACUAUGGUGACUAUGUACAAAGAAAUCAAACUAAGGUGACACUUUGCUCAGAGCUGGAUUGUAUGGGCUGAAAGAAUUUCCAUCAAUAACCACUUUUCCUCUGUUUGACUGUAGAUUUUACACAAAGCCUGAAAAGAGAUGGUACGAAUUGCAGAUGACCUUAUUGAGCCAUUAAGGUGAAAUAUUGAAAAACGUCCUGCAGUUAUGAUGUCCCACAGAUCUUUUCAUUUGCAUUGUAAGAUUAGCUAUUUGUCGGCUUUGCAAACAGGAGCCUUGAAACUUGAAAAGAAACCAUAACACAGGGUUUUAAAUCUGGGGAAUUUAAAAAAAAAUAAAUGUCUAUAUACAACAUCAGGAAGAAAACCAAAGCACUCACACUGCAAUGCAGGCAUGA
Molecule: long non-coding RNA, 6855 nt
Organism: Oreochromis niloticus (Nile tilapia)
Lineage: Eukaryota; Metazoa; Chordata; Actinopteri; Cichliformes; Cichlidae
Exons: 2
Source: RefSeq, a predicted model, not a curated record